CCCGCCGGCGACCGGCGCACGGGUGAGUAACACGUAUGGAACCUGCCCGCAGCAGGGGGAUAAGCGGAAGAAAUUCCGUCUAAUACCGCGUAACACCGCGGAGGGGCAUCCCUCGGCGGUUAAAGAUUCAUCGGCUGCGGAUGGCCAUGCGGCGCAUUAGCUAGUCGGCGGGGUAACGGCCCACCGAGGCGACGAUGCGUAGGGGUUCUGAGAGGAAGGUCCCCCACACUGGUACUGAGACACGGACCAGACUCCUACGGAAGGCAGCAG
Molecule: ribosomal RNA, 270 nt
Filed under: uncultured bacterium
Lineage: Bacteria
Description: partial 16S ribosomal RNA
Rfam family: Bacterial small subunit ribosomal RNA
Source: RNAcentral